CUCCUACCUCCAACCCCAGCACAUCACUGCCCAGUUCAACUCCUUCCCCACAGCUUCAAAGCGGAUUGAGCCACUUUCAUAUGUACCUCAACUGUCCUCUAAAUUAACUAUGCCAAUCUUUGUGUUGUUGUUGUUAGUCCUGCUAUCUUGUUCCUCAGCAUCCUAUGAGGCUCCCAAGAAUGUCCUGGACAAGUUGAGGAACAGGAGAAAAGAUGGCUUUCCCAAGUUCAAGUGCCUGGGAGGCUGACGCCACAUGCCAUCUGCUGGUGUUACGCUGCAUCGCUCCACAGUGACUCCAGAGGCCAAGAAAGAACAAAGGGAACCCUCGUCUCCUCUAGAGAGAGGGGCUUCCAUGGGUCCCCUGCUACAGGCUUUUGACAUGAACAAGUCCAGAACACAACCUUGAGAAGAAUGAGGAAGAUAAGGACUAUUCUACCUUGGCUCGUAUCUCAAAAUUAUCAUCAUUCAUGUAAAGUUCACAACCACAAAGACAUUCCUACUUAUUUUCUCAGGUGUUGCAAAGCUUUGACAUGGGAUGAAAAUAUCACUCCUAGAGGUAUAAACUAGACUGAUUCAGAGUGCCCUGAUUUUCUCAACAGCCCUCCUCUCGUACAUUAUGGCAUCAUCUUAAGGAAUUGAGUCUCAGUCUCUGCACCAGCCCCAAGUGUGGCAAGAUUUCAUCCCACUUGACGAUCUUCCUUGGGCUCCAGUCCCUGUUCACUGCCAGGGCUGGGGGGAGGCAGGAUGCAACAGCUGCCAGAAAG
Long non-coding RNA from Bos taurus (domestic cattle), 764 nucleotides. The record is from Ensembl. NCBI's taxonomy places the organism in Eukaryota, Metazoa, Chordata, Mammalia, Artiodactyla, Bovidae.